RNAcentral lists this long non-coding RNA (600 nucleotides) under Physcomitrium patens. Its description in RNAcentral is "long non-coding RNA (PPAT_LNC003405)". Lineage: Eukaryota; Viridiplantae; Streptophyta; Bryopsida; Funariales; Funariaceae. The record is from RNAcentral.
AACAAAAAAAUCCUAACUCUAAUAGAAUACUAACUAAACUCUAAUUAAACCAUAAUAAUGCUAAGCAAGCUUUAAUCAAAUUCAAAAAAUCUUCAAAGAAAUUUCAAAGAAACAAUAAGAAAUCUUAAAGAAAUAUUAGAAUGAUUACAAAUAUAUCUCAAAUACAUCUCAAUUCGAUCUUAAUUUAAUCCUAGUUAAAAUCCUAUUAGACUUCAUUCAAAUUUUAGACCAAAACUAAUUAAAUCUUAAAUCCUAAAAAAAUCCUAAUAAAAUCCUAAAUCCUAAAUCAAAUCCUAAAUCCUAAACCAAAUCCUAAUCAAAUCCUAAAUCCUAAAUCAAAUCCUAAAUCAAAUCCUAAAUCCUAAACCAAAUCCUAAUCAAAUCCUAAACCCUAAACCAAAUCCUAACUAAAUCCUAAAUCAAAUCCUAAUUAAACCUUAAAUCCUAAACCAAAGCCUAAAUCCUAAACCAAACCCUAAACCUUAAAUAAAAUCUUAUCUAAAUCCUAGUAAUUUCCACAAUAGAUUCAAACCUCAUUAACUAAUAAAUGAACCGUUGAUCUUAACUCAAAUUUUACACACCUCUUAAAAAUUAAAUUGA